Molecule: ribosomal RNA, 913 nt
Filed under: Leuconostoc mesenteroides
Lineage: Bacteria; Bacillati; Bacillota; Bacilli; Lactobacillales; Lactobacillaceae
Description: bacterial SSU rRNA
Rfam family: Bacterial small subunit ribosomal RNA
Source: RNAcentral
GGGGGUGCUAUACAUGCAGUCGAACGCACAGCGAAAGGUGCUUGCACCUUUCAAGUGAGUGGCGAACGGGUGAGUAACACGUGGACAACCUGCCUCAAGGCUGGGGAUAACAUUUGGAAACAGAUGCUAAUACCGAAUAAAACUUAGUGUCGCAUGACACAAAGUUAAAAGGCGCUUCGGCGUCACCUAGAGAUGGAUCCGCGGUGCAUUAGUUAGUUGGUGGGGUAAAGGCCUACCAAGACAAUGAUGCAUAGCCGAGUUGAGAGACUGAUCGGCCACAUUGGGACUGAGACACGGCCCAAACUCCUACGGGAGGCUGCAGUAGGGAAUCUUCCACAAUGGGCGAAAGCCUGAUGGAGCAACGCCGCGUGUGUGAUGAAGGCUUUCGGGUCGUAAAGCACUGUUGUAUGGGAAGAACAGCUAGAAUAGGAAAUGAUUUUAGUUUGACGGUACCAUACCAGAAAGGGACGGCUAAAUACGUGCCAGCAGCCGCGGUAAUACGUAUGUCCCGAGCGUUAUCCGGAUUUAUUGGGCGUAAAGCGAGCGCAGACGGUUUAUUAAGUCUGAUGUGAAAGCCCGGAGCUCAACUCCGGAAUGGCAUUGGAAACUGGUUAACUUGAGUGCAGUAGAGGUAAGUGGAACUCCAUGUGUAGCGGUGGAAUGCGUAGAUAUAUGGAAGAACACCAGUGGCGAAGGCGGCUUACUGGACUGCAACUGACGUUGAGGCUCGAAAGUGUGGGGUAGCAAACAGGAUUAGAUACCCUGGUAGUCCACACCGUAAACGAUGAACACUAGUGUUAGGAGGUUUCCGCCUCUUAGUGCCGAAGCUAACGCAUUAAGUGUUCCGCCUGGGGAGUACGACCGCAAGGUUGAAACUCAAAGGAAUUGACGGGGACCCGCACAAGCGGUGGAG